AGUGAACGCUGGCGGCAGGCCUAAUACAUGCAAGUCGAACGGACACAUAGUAAGCUUUCUCCUCUACGGGUGGCGAGGGGCGGACGGGUGAGGAAUACAUCAGAUACUUAUUUUUCUGGGGGGACAACGGGGGGAAACAUAUGCUACUAGCGCAUAUGACCAACGGGUUAAAUCAAUAGUUCUAGAGAGUUUUCGUGACACUUAUAGACGAUGUCGCAUUAGCUAGUUGGCGUGGUAAAGGCCCACCAAGGCGACGAUCCGUAGCUGGUCUGAGAGGAUGAUCAGCCACACUGGAACUGAGACACGGUCCAGACUCCUACGGGAGGCAGCAGUGGGGAAUAUUGGGCAAUGGGCGCAAGCCUGAUCCAGCAAUGCCGCGUGGGUGAAGAAGGCCUUCGGGUUGUAAAGCCCUUUUGUUGGGAAAGAAAAGCAGCAGGUUAAUACCCCGCUGUUCUGACGGUACCCAAAGAGUAAGCACCGGCUAACUUCGUG
This 492-nucleotide ribosomal RNA is filed under the name uncultured bacterium. RNAcentral describes it as "partial 16S ribosomal RNA". It matches the Rfam family "Bacterial small subunit ribosomal RNA", at positions 29 to 507 of the family's 1533-position model. The record is from RNAcentral.